GGAGUUAGCCGGUGCUUCUUCUGUGAGUGAUGUCCUUCCUGCCGGCUAUUAACCCGCAGGCCUUCUUCCUCACUGAAAGUGCUUUACAACCCGAAGGCCUUCUUCACACACGCGGCAUGGCUGGAUCAGGGUUGCCCCCAUUGUCCAAUAUUCCCCACUGCUGCCUCCCGUAGGAGUCUGGGCCGUGUCUCAGUCCCAGUGUGGCUGAUCAUCCUCUCAGACCAGCUACGGAUCGUCGCCUUGGUGAGCCGUUACCUCACCAACCAGCUAAUCCGACAUAGGCUCAUCCGAUAGCGCGAGGCCCGAAGGUCCCCCGCUUUCCCCCGUAGGGCGUAUGCGGUAUUAGCCUGGGUUUCCCCAGGUUAUCCCCCACUACCGGGCAGAUUCCUAUGCAUUACUCACCCGUCCGCCGCUCGCCACCAGGGAGCAAGCUCCCCGUGCUGCCGCUCGACUUGCAUGUGUUAGGCCUGCCGCCAGCGUUCAUCUGACGCCAUAACUACAACUCUGA
RNAcentral lists this ribosomal RNA (508 nucleotides) under uncultured bacterium. RNAcentral's name for it is "partial 16S ribosomal RNA". The record is from RNAcentral.